Molecule: unclassified non-coding RNA, 373 nt
Filed under: plant metagenome
Description: partial contains 5.8S ribosomal RNA, internal transcribed spacer 2, and large subunit ribosomal RNA
Rfam family: 5.8S ribosomal RNA (bases 1-100)
Source: RNAcentral
GCGAUACGUAAUGUGAAUUGCAGAAUUCAGUGAAUCAUCGAAUCUUUGAACGCACCUUGCGCUCCUUGGUAUUCCUUGGAGCAUGCCUCUUUGAGUAUCAUGAAAUCUUCAAAGUAAAUCUUUUGUUAACUCAAUUGGUUUCUACUUUGGUAUUGGAGGUCUUUGCAGCUUCACACCUGCUCCUCUUUGUUCAUUAGCUGGAUCUCAGUGUUAUGCUUGGUUCCACUCGGCGUGAUAAGUUAUCUAUCGCUGAGGACACUGUAAAAGGUGGCCAAGGUAAAUGCAGAUGAACCGCUUCUAAUAGUCCAUUGACUUGGACAAUACUUUUAUGAUCUGAUCUCAAAUCAGGUAGGACUACCCGCUGAACUUAAGC